This 28-nucleotide non-coding RNA is filed under the name Mus musculus (house mouse). The record is from RNAcentral. Lineage: Eukaryota; Metazoa; Chordata; Mammalia; Rodentia; Muridae.
UAGAGAGACCUUUGUCCUUACUGCUUCA